This 329-nucleotide unclassified non-coding RNA is filed under the name soil metagenome. Its description in RNAcentral is "partial contains 5.8S ribosomal RNA, internal transcribed spacer 2, and large subunit ribosomal RNA". The stretch from base 1 to 120 matches the Rfam family "5.8S ribosomal RNA", at positions 35 to 154 of the family's 154-position model. The record is from RNAcentral.
GAUGAAGAACGUAGCGAAAUGCGAUAAGUAAUGUGAAUUGCAGAAUUCAGUGAAUCAUCGAAUCUUUGAACGCACAUUGCGCCCCUUGGUAUUCCGAGGGGCAUGCCUGUUCGAGCGUCAUUAUAACCCCUCAAGCUCAGCUUGGUGUUGGGGCCUGCUGCACUGGCAGCCCUUAAAAUCAGUGGCGGCGCCAUCUGGCUCUAAGCGUAGUAAUUCUUCUCGCUAUGGAGUCCUGGUGGAUGCUUGCCAUCAACCCCCAAUUUUUCUAUGGUUGACCUCGGAUCAGGUAGGGGUACCCGCUGAACUUAAGCAUAUCAAUAAGCGGAGGA